RNAcentral lists this ribosomal RNA (250 nucleotides) under uncultured bacterium. RNAcentral describes it as "partial 16S ribosomal RNA". It matches the Rfam family "Bacterial small subunit ribosomal RNA", at positions 524 to 773 of the family's 1533-position model. The record is from RNAcentral.
UACGGAGGGGACUAGCGUUGUUCGGAAUUACUGGGCGUAAAGAGUUCGUAGGCGGAUAAGCAAGUAAGAGGUGAAAGCCCAGGGCUCAACCCUGGAACUGCCUUUUAGACUGCUUGUCUGGAGACCGGUAGAGGUUAGGGGAAUACCUAGUGUAGAGGUGAAAUUCGUAGAUAUUAGGUGGAACACCAGUGGCGAAGGCGCCUAACUGGACCGGUACUGACGCUGAGGAACGAAAGCGUGGGGAGCAAAC